This 437-nucleotide long non-coding RNA is filed under the name Helianthus annuus (common sunflower). Its description in RNAcentral is "sRNA HanXRQr2_Chr09g0384871". The record is from RNAcentral. Lineage: Eukaryota; Viridiplantae; Streptophyta; Magnoliopsida; Asterales; Asteraceae.
GGUGUUCUAACCAAUAAUCACCGAUGCGAUGUUCUGUCCGAUCGAUUCAGGAACCAUCUAACGAAUGCCGAAGUGCUGUGCUUUGUGAAUUUCGUUAACCGGAAUCCAAAGUACUAUACUUUGUGAGUUCAUUAAAUGGAUACCAAAGUACUGUCUGAAUAAGACUAUACUUUGUGAAAUUCGUUAAGGUUCGAAUCUCGUGACUACCGUUAAGGUUUGAUUUGGGUUUUACACAAAUACGUAUUCCAUUCUGUUAAACUAUAUGUUUAACUACCAAAAAUACUCCCAACUACACACUCACAAUCAAACAAACUAUUAAAUCAUCAGAAGAUCCAGAAUAAUAAAGUGCAUGCUUAAUUAUCGGAAGAAGUAGAAUCAAGAAGCUUGUUAACUCAAUCUUGCAUGCUUAUAAAGUAAUUACAGUAGAUCGGAAUAAG